GUUCAUGUCUGCAUCUUUCGCUUGUGCUUAGGCAUUUUAAGCUUCUCAUCCACAGUCAAGGCUUCAUCACCUCAGCGGGGAUUAAAUAAGGCACUAUAUAACCAGUAGAAGAAAUGAUGGUGCACUGUCAAUAUUCAUCAAGGACCAACCAAACAUAUCAGAUACUAAUUUCUCAAAGUAAGCGUUUACUAGCGGAGCUUUGUCUGGCUUGAUCAUUUUAUCUUGCCAAUCCAUCUAUCUGCUUAGGCUAUGACGUCUCAGUUUAUCUUGACUUUGCUCUGGUAAGAGUAUUGGACUGUGGAGGCUUCAAUACUAGUAUUGAACUGUGGAGUAAGCUGAUAUAUAUAUAACUAGCGUUCUACACGGCAAAUAUCUACCAAAUUGGGGGAGGGGAUGUACAUACCACUUGAUAUUUUAAUGCAGACGAGGACAAGAAAAUAUCAGUUUUUGGGAGAUAUUGACACUAUCGUUAAGGGAUGGUUAGUCAAGACUACUACUAAAAGGUUCUUGCCAUCUUUGUCAGAAUUCUACUACGAUAUGUAGUAGUUCAAGUUUUCAUAUUAAGGUGUUGUUCGUUGGUUAGAGAUUGUGACUGAAAUUUAUCGUCUCUUAACUAGUUCAGUGACAUUGAUGGAUGAUCAGUUUAAGCAAGUGGAGCUCUGUGGUUCGGCGGCAAGUCUUAAACUCUGGUGAUCGGGAAGACAAAUGUGCUGGUUGAUGGAAGAUGACAGUACCUCCGGGGAUGAGCAAGCUUGCAGAGCAGCAGAGACUAUGUCAUCGAAGAGAUGAGUCUAUGGCGAAGCUAGGUGAAGAGGUGAUUUAAAGACUUCACUCGACCAAGAUAUCACUAUACCUGGAUUCCUUUAAAUCAUUUAAGAGGUUCUGCAGCUUCUCCAGAGAAAGGCAGUAGUGGCUGGUGCUAGGUUAUCUUCUACGAAGUGCUUGCCAUCAUUUGUAUGUUAGUGUCAUCAUCGUUACCAGCAUCAUCUAUUAAUACAAAAUGUAGAGUUUGAGCAAAGAUGAGAUUGUACUUUCCCAGAGAAUUUUUUUUUUUCAAUUUUGUGUCGAUGCUGUACGCUUAUACAAAAUGUAAAGAAAAUUAUUCAGGAAAUUUCUCCGUCUUGUCUGCC
Asparagus officinalis (garden asparagus) is the source of this 1130-nucleotide long non-coding RNA. RefSeq lists it as uncharacterized. The record is from RefSeq and is a predicted model, not a curated record. NCBI's taxonomy places the organism in Eukaryota, Viridiplantae, Streptophyta, Magnoliopsida, Asparagales, Asparagaceae. The transcript is spliced from 2 exons.